GUCGGCCUGCGCGGAAGAUGUAACGGGGCUAAACCAUGCACCGAAGCUGCGGCAGCGACGCUGAUGCGUUGUUGGGUAGGGGAGCGUUCUGUAAGCCUGCGAAGGUGUGCUGUGAGGCAUGCUGGAGGUAUCAGAAGUGCGAAUGCUGACAUAAGUAACGAUAAAGCGGGUGAAAAGCCCGCUCGCCGGAAGACCAAGGGUUCCUGUCCAACGUUAAUCGGGGCAGGGUGAGUCGACCCCUAAGGCGAGGCCGAAAGGCGUAGUCGAUGGGAAACAGGUUAAUAUUCCUGUACUUGGUGUUACUGCGAAGGGGGGACGGAGAAGGCUAUGUUGGCCGGGCGACGGUUGUCCCGGUUUAAGCGUGUAGGCUGGUUUUCCAGGCAAAUCCGGAAAAUCAAGGCUGAGGCGUGAUGACGAGGCACUACGGUGCUGAAGCAACAAAUGCCCUGCUUCCAGGAAAAGCCUCUAAGCAUCAGGUAACAUCAAAUCGUACCCCAAACCGACACAGGUGGUCAGGUAGAGAAUACCAAGGCGCUUGAGAGAACUCGGGUGAAGGAACUAGGCAAAAUGGUGCCGUAACUUCGGGAGAAGGCACGCUGAUAUGUAGGUGAAG
RNAcentral lists this ribosomal RNA (613 nucleotides) under Escherichia coli. RNAcentral's name for it is "partial 23S ribosomal RNA". It matches the Rfam family "Bacterial large subunit ribosomal RNA", at positions 1153 to 1767 of the family's 2925-position model. The record is from RNAcentral. Lineage: Bacteria; Pseudomonadati; Pseudomonadota; Gammaproteobacteria; Enterobacterales; Enterobacteriaceae.